RNAcentral lists this long non-coding RNA (727 nucleotides) under Cucumis sativus (cucumber). Its description in RNAcentral is "long non-coding RNA (CSAT_LNC000562)". The record is from RNAcentral. Lineage: Eukaryota; Viridiplantae; Streptophyta; Magnoliopsida; Cucurbitales; Cucurbitaceae.
AUUCCAAGACGUAGAUGACCACAAAAGUCUCCUCCACUAUUCUCACUUCAGACUGUGAUUGUAAGAACAAAUUAGUGAUUGAUUUAAUGAUUUUUUUUAGGGAAAAUAAAAUUAUAAACUCUUCAUAAUCUCUUUUUAAAUUCUUCAGCUUUUUUCAUCCGAUCUCCACUAAUCAUCAUCUCUUCAUGUACAAUACACACACAUAUAUAUACAUACAGCAGUGCUUCAAGUGACAGAUUGAUGUCGAACUUCCUCUUACCACUUUGACGAUGCCUUGCUGCUCCGAUUUUGACAUUGUCGCGCUUUUGUUUCCAUUCAAUGGUGCUUCAAGUGACAUGUGCUACACCCAAUUACCAAGUGUUGAAUGAAAGAGUUCGGUAGGGCCAUCGGUGGAGCGUGGAGCAUGUCAAUCUUUACGGCAUUGAUUUUUGUGUCGAAUGAAAGAGUCCGAUAGGGCCAUCGACGGAGCAUGGCAAUCUUUGUGGCAUUGAUUCUUCCCUUUUUUUACAUUAAUUUGUAUUAAUUUCUCAUCCUUGCUUCUUCUCUAUUUUCAUAUAAUUUUUGAGCAAUACUGUUUUGUUUGAAUACUGUCCCCAUACCUAUUUUGUUCAUUUUCAUGUAUAGCCUUUGGUUUCGAUCCCCUCACCAAAUAUUUAAUGGAUGUUAAUGUAUGUCUUCGAAUUCGUUUCACUGAAGCACCUAAGAUAUUUGUUUGAUUGCUUGUUCC